GACUAAGGAAACCACUAAACCAGCUUCCCAGGACAGCAACGUGAACUUCUCUUCUUGCUUGUACGAUAAUUGAAGGAGAUUCUUGUUCUUUUGCUCUUUCUACCUUUGGUCUCCAAUUAUGUUAGUAUGUCAAUUUGUCAAAUAAUAGUUGGUAUUGUUGAGUCAAGAAUCCAGCUUUCCGGGGCAGCGACGUGAACUUCUCUUCUUGCUUGUAUAUAUCUUUGUUAUGUUUUGAGGAAUCUUGCUUGUAUCAUCGUUAACAGGAAUAAUAUAAUUUCUUUCGAGGGAUACUGGGACGUAUUGCAAGGUUUCCAAAGGUCAAUAUAAGCAGAUUACUUUACUCCUUGAAAAAUUUUCCCAUUUCUCAGUUUAAGAGGGAAAAAAAAUACAAACAAAUUAAGCUAUGUCGUCUCGUGCUCUGAAGAAGACUUGUGUACAUCGUUUCGUAAAGUGGUCCAGCUCUGACAAGAAAUCGCACAUGUCGUGUUGGACCGCACCUUGGAGUUCAACACGUGCAAACCGAUACAAGCACGAGCAAUAACCAUUCCUGACAUUUAACAUAGACAAACAUGAUCGCUAUGGAUAUGUAGUAGUGGAAGAAUAGGGAAGAAGUCCUCUGGUGCAGACACCAGAAAAAUCAUACUAGAUGGAUUUUCUAUUUUAUCAUAUUUUUUAAUAUUUAUUUAAAAAAUUUAU
This 696-nucleotide long non-coding RNA is filed under the name Elaeis guineensis (African oil palm). RNAcentral describes it as "long non-coding RNA (EGUI_LNC027275)". The record is from RNAcentral. Lineage: Eukaryota; Viridiplantae; Streptophyta; Magnoliopsida; Arecales; Arecaceae.